UACGGAGGGUGCGAGCGUUAAUCGGAAUUACUGGGCGUAAAGCGUGCGCAGGCGGUUUUGUAAGUCUGUCGUGAAAUCCCCGGGCUCAACCUGGGAAUUGCGAUGGAGACUGCAAGGCUAGAAUCUGGCAGAGGGGGUAGAAUUCCACGUGUGAGCAGUGAAAUGCGUAGAGAUGUGGAGGAACACCGAUGGCGAAGGCAGCCCCCUGGGUCAAGAUUGACGCUCAUGCACGAAAGCGUGGGGAGCAACAGG
This 252-nucleotide ribosomal RNA is filed under the name uncultured bacterium. Its description in RNAcentral is "partial 16S ribosomal RNA". It matches the Rfam family "Bacterial small subunit ribosomal RNA", at positions 524 to 775 of the family's 1533-position model. The record is from RNAcentral.